Long non-coding RNA from Brassica rapa (field mustard), 5106 nucleotides. RefSeq lists it as uncharacterized. The record is from RefSeq and is a predicted model, not a curated record. Lineage: Eukaryota; Viridiplantae; Streptophyta; Magnoliopsida; Brassicales; Brassicaceae.
ACCUAAUUUUCUCUCACGAAAAGUUUCGUAGCCGCCGAAGCCUUUGCUUAGAUCCACCACAGCUUCCUCGGUGGUUUGGCUUCCGCCACCACCGGGGAAGGCUAUUCCUCCUCGAUCUCUUCUUUCAGUGGUGUAUCUUUCUUUUCUCUCUAAAGUCGUCUAUUCUCUCUCUGUAUGGUCUCCUUUGCAGCGGUCGUUGAUGGUCUUUGUGUAGCUUUAUGAUGUUCUACAUGGAGUUAGAGCAAGGAAGGUGUGUUUGGAGUGUAUAUGGUGGUGACAGUGGCGGAUUCUUUUGCAAUGGAAUCUUGUAUGGCUUGUCAUGUGCGACAGUUUUAGUUCUUUGUUGCCAUUCAUUUGUGUUUGGGCUUUGCUAUGGUAGUUGGUUCAGUUUGUCCUGGUUCUUGUUAGAGGAGUUAUGCCUUGCUCCCUGUUACAAGAUGGUUUUCAUUUAGGGUUUAUUGGAUACACAACAAUACCUAGAUGCAUGUUGGGCUGUCAUUGAUCUGAAUUGAUAGGGAUUCAUCAUUUGGAGUUGGACUUUGAAUUAUGUUGGGUUCUUCUCAAGCCACUAUUGUGGAUAAAAGCAGAGCUUACAGUAUUCAUGGUUUUAACUCAUGAAUUUCCAUUAUUCCCUCAAGUUCAGAUUAACGCUUUGGUCUUUAUCCUCCUUUCAUGUCAUCAUUUUUAAGGCUAAGGCUCUCAUCUGAGCUUCUACUUGCCUAUCUAUUGGCUCAGUUCUUUAUUGCGAUCAGAAGCAGAGGUGGCUGUCAUGUAAGUUGAUUGGAUCGUGGAGUAUUGAUCCUCCUUCUACUACUGAUGGCUAAGAAGACACUCAUUAUUUCUUCUUUUCCCUGUUGGCCUUAGUAAUUGUCGCAUCUACUGAUGUUGUUAGUUUAAUUCCUUUCAAGCUUUCUUUUGUAUGAACUCCUUCUGGCCAUGUCUUAGUACUGGUUUUAUUGCAAUCGAAUGAUUUUUUGACAAAAAAAAAAGUUCCUAUAAUAUUUCAUAUCAUAUUAAAUAACCAAAUAUGUGAUCAGAAUAAAUGUCAUAUAUAACUGACAUAGCUUUGAAAUGAUGAGCAAGAAUUCAUGUUAACCAAUAUCAAAGUACAUAACUGAUAUAUUGUACAAAAUGAGAUUCGCAUUCAAUGGAGUAUAUAAACAGUAUAAAUUUUUGUGGUAACAAAUUUUAUAGGGCCUAUUCGUUUCUCCAUCAGAAUGAGCCAUCUGGAUGUAGAUGAGAGUUUUGUUCGUUUAGACAUUAAAAGUGCAAUUCAUCUGGAUGGAUCAUCUGGAUGACUUUUGGAAAUUUAGGUUUAAUUUUAAAGUUCAUUCAGCUGAUCAAAUUUGGACCAUUUGGAUGGAGAUGGUUCAUUCAAUAUGGUAUAAUGUCUAUUAUGCACUUAAUGUAAUUCACAAAUUACAAACAUAAACAUAAUAUCAUUUUGUCACACACGAAAACUGGCAAAACCACAAGAAAACAUUUUUCCGCGAAAACCUAAAAUCAAAAUUUUCACGCCAAAACCCUAAAAUGCAUUUCCGCACAAAAUUGGAAAAACGUGUUUUCCCGCAAAAACUGGAAAAACGUGUUUUCCCGCAAAAACAUGUUUACAUGCCAAAAUCACAAAAAUGCGUUUUCACGCCAAAACCCCAUAACACAUUUUCCACCUAAUCACAAAAACAUGUUCUCCUGCCAAAACCACAAAAUGUGUUUUCCCGCCAUAACGUCUUUUACCGCCAAAACCGAAAAACGUGUUUUCCCACCAAAACCGAAAAUCUUGUUUUCUGCCAAAACCGCAAAAACGUGUUUUCCCACCAAAACCAUAAAUCGUGUUUUCUCGCCAAAACCGAAAAUUGACUUUUCCCGCCAAAAUCAAAAAAUCUUGUUUUCCCGCCAAAACCGCAAAAAUGCAUUUUUCGCCAAAACCAAAAAAUUUAUUUUUUCUCCAAAAUUGAAAAAACUCAUUUUCCCGUCAAAAUCCAAAAAUCUCGUUUUCCCGUCAAAAUUGAAAAAUCUCGUUUUCCGUUAUAACCGAAAAUUUUUGUUUUCCGCCAAAACCGAAGUUACAGUCAGUUUAUUAUUAAUACUCUUUUAGUUUGAAACUCUAAUUUUUUUUUUCAAAUACAUGUUUAUCAAUUUUUUUUGUUUAUUAGAAGUUAUUAUUGUAGUAAAUUUUAACAUAUGAUUAAAUCAAGAUAAGGGUAUUUUAGUAAUUUUUUUACUAAACUCAUUUGGAUGGAAAUGAAAAUAAAGAAACAAACAUAAAAUUCAUUUAGAUGAUUCAUCUAGAUGAACCAUCUAGAUAGACAAACAAACAGUCCUAAAAAUCUGAAUGGAUCAUCUAAAUAGAUCAUACAAAUGGAUCAUCUGAAUAGAGAUGACAGAUGGUGACAGAUGGUGAAACGAACAACCCCGUACUGUAUGACUUAUUAGGAAUAACCAAAAUUUGAAUACAAUAGGUAUUCCCUUUUAUUGCCUCCCAAUUUCCCUAGACCAAGCGUAGAUAGUUACUCCUAAUUGCUAGAUUAAAGCGUAUAGAACUUAAUACUUCCGUUAACAUUAAAUGUAGUGAAAAAGUUCAAUGGAAGCAUAUUGAAAAAGUGUGAAGCAAAGCACUAUUUACAUGGGAAUAAUUUAUGUAUGCGAAGGCUUUACUUCACACUAUAAAAAGUAUUCUCAUGUAAAUAUAUAGUCCUAUUAAAAUCAUAAAUUAAUAAUCUAUCUCUAUACUUAUUUUAUAUUAGUACAAACUAAACAUUAUUGUUGGUUUUAUAUUUUGAUAAUAUUAAAUAAAAUUAUAUCAAAAACCACAUAACAAUUAUAUGAAACAUAAAAAUAUACAUCAAAUAAGAUAAUAAAAUAGUAUGGAAGUCAAAUUCCUAAAUUUAAAUAAUUUAUAUAAGGUAAAAUUAAAUAUUUCUUAAUUUAUUAAUAAAAAUAUUAAAAAAAAUCUGAAAAAAGAAAUUAUGAUAAAUAAAAAUAUCUCUAUAAAUUAAUAAAAUUUUAAAGUUUCAAUAUUAUUAAUUUAUAGAGGUUCUACUGUACAGUCUUUAUCUUAUUCACGAAGCAUGUUCUUAUUCAGUGCUAUAUGAAUCAGAAAAAUAUACAUAGUCUUAUCUUAUUCACAAAUCAUGUUAUCGUUCAGUGUUUUAGUUUUUAUUAUAGGGUAUAUGGCGAACAGUGAAUAAGAAAAAAAACCAUUCAUCAUCGAUUUUAGUUUUUUUUUGUACCCACUAACCAUUUAAAUGAAAAUUGAUCUCAGCUAAUCAAUAGUAUCCCUCUGUUUCAGUUUAAUUUGUAUAGUAAAAUUUUUGUUUCAAAAUAAAUGUCGCUUUAUAGUUUCAAUGCAAAAUUUAUUAAUUUUAUAAUCUAAUCUAUUUCUGUAUUGGUUGAAAUGUGUUUAGAUGUAUUUCAGUAUCGGUAAUGAUGUUUUUAUUUAGUAAAUAUACAAAAUUAAAUAUUUUUAAUAUUUUUUCAUAAGUGUAAAACAACAAUCCCCUAUACAUUAUUUACUAAGUAAUUUUGACACAUGUCAUCACCACAUUAACUUUGAAAGCAAAAUAAUGACAUGGAAUAUUAAUAAAGAUGACAUGGUUUGGACUAACUGUGAUAUGAACAUUUAUAUUUAAUAUUGUUUUAUAAUUUUGGUAAAUUGUUAGAAUAAACUAACAACUUAUAAAUAAUCAUUAAUAUAACAAUAUAUAGUAAAGUUAGAAAUAUAGUAAUACAUAAUAAUUUUCGAAAAUAUUAUUUAAUUUUAUUUAAAUAAUUUUAUAAUUUUUCAUUACUAAAACAAAUCUUAAAACAUUUAUGCAUUUUUCAAAAAAAAAUUAAAAUCAUAUUAUAAUUAUUUCUUUUUAAUAUUUAAAAAUUUUAGAAAUAUUAUUUAAUUUUAUGUUUUGUUCAUUAUAUAUUAAAAAACUUUCCCUUAAUUCUAUAAAAUUGUAUUUAAUAUAUAUUAACCAAAAUAAAAUAAAUAAAAAUAUUCCAAGAAAUAUUUAUUAUUAAAUAUAAAUGUAAAAAAAAUAUUUAUUUGAUCUUAGUUUUUACAUAGAAAUAAAAUAUUAUAUGCAAAUAAUAAAACCAAAAAAUUAACAAAACUUUAUUUAUAAAUAUAAUUCUAAAAUUAUAUUUGUGCACAUAGUUAUAGGAAAACACAUAGUUAAAAUGAAACGGAAGGAGUAAGUAACAAAUCUUAAUUGUUCGAGAUAUUUAUUUCUUAAACACACAAACAAUUAACGUUGUACCUAAUUGAUCCUAAAUAUAGGACUUAACAAAUAUUUCAUUUCUAAAAUCAUAACUACUUCAAGUCUUCAACAAAUAUAAAUAGCUCGAAAUUGAAGGGUAAGUGGAUAUUUGUCACUAACUUCACUUUGAGUACAGCCGCCGGUCCAUAUAGACUGACCAAGUGCCACAAUUUGCCACUGCAUUUAAAACUGAGUCUAAGGUAGUAAGGUUCUCUCAUUAAUGGUAAUAUUGUAUUUUACAAAAUCAGUGACAUUUACAACCAUACAAAUUGUAUAUUAGAAUUUACAAACCAUACAAAUUGUAUAUCUAAUAACAGUCCUUCGAUCAUUACUUCAAGUUCAUACUAUUGAUACGAGUCUUUCCAACACGAUUCUUAGGUCUCUAUGUGAUCACCAUUAUUAAACCGGUCAAAAACCGGUGUCUUUAUUCAAUACGAGUCUCGCCAAUAGUGUAGCAAAAUCCAGUGCCUUUAUCCAACACGAUUUUUAAGUCUCUCUGUGAUCACUACAAGUGACUCUCAAUUGGGAGUUUCUUAGGUCUCUCUGUGAUCACUACAAGUGACUCUCAGUUGGGAGUAGCAAAUUCUGUUGGAUCAAAUAAAUAGUCCAAUGGUUUUUAUUUAAAAUGUGAAUAAACAAUGAUUUGGAUUACAUGUUAUUAAGCCUAAAAAUCAAUUCAUUUAGUGUAUCAGAUAUGGGAAAGUAAUCUAAAACGCCUCAGUUACAAAAAAAACUAUUCUAACUAUCCCACCAUUUUUCUCACUACCCCAGCAUUUUCCCCUAUUACCCUUUUUUAAUAAUAUUUUUUAAGUUAUAUGCGGACCCCACCCAUCAUGCAUGCAGACCUCUCCCCCAUUUU